CCAAUCCAGAACCCAGCUCCUCCUAGAUGCAAUGCAAAACCGAGAACAAGCGCCACAGGAAUGCCAACAAGAUAGAAUGCGCCCAGGUUAACAUAGGCACCUAAAUGCUGCCAUCCACAGCCUCUAGAAAUACCUGAUGGGAAAAAAAAUUGAACCAGACCUUAGUUCAAUUGUUUAUACAGUGCAACUGACAAUAGAUUAUUGUUCAUGGAGGGCAGAAGUAGAUACCUGAAAGGACUCCUUGGAGGUUGUCAGUAAGAACUGAAAUGGAAAGCAAUGGCACCAUUCUGGUGACAUAAUUUACAACCUCUUCCUCGUUGCUGAAAGCAAUUCCGAUGAAAUGGCGCAACGAUAGAAGAGUUACGCUCACCAGAAC
Molecule: long non-coding RNA, 376 nt
Filed under: Setaria viridis
Lineage: Eukaryota; Viridiplantae; Streptophyta; Magnoliopsida; Poales; Poaceae
Description: long non-coding RNA (SVIR_LNC010100)
Source: RNAcentral